RNAcentral lists this ribosomal RNA (468 nucleotides) under uncultured bacterium. RNAcentral describes it as "partial 16S ribosomal RNA". It matches the Rfam family "Bacterial small subunit ribosomal RNA", at positions 28 to 507 of the family's 1533-position model. The record is from RNAcentral.
GACGAACGCUGGCGGCGUGCUUAACACAUGCAAGUCGAACGGAAAGGCCCUGCUUUUGUGGGGUGCUCGAGUGGCGAACGGGUGAGUAACACGUGAGUAACCUGCCCUUGACUUUGGGAUAACUUCAGGAAACUGGGGCUAAUACCGGAUAGGAGCUCCUGCUGCAUGGGGGAGGGUGGAAAGUUUCGGUGGUUGGGGAUGGACUCGCGGCUUAGCAGCUUGUGGGUGGGGUAGUGGCUUACCAAGGCUUUGACGGGUAGCCGGCCUGAGAGGGUGACCGGCCACAUUGCGACUGAGAUUCGGCCCAGACUCCUACGGGAGGCAGCAGUGGGGCAUAUUGCACUAUGGGCGGAACCCUGAUGCGGCAACGCCGCGUGCCGGCUGACGGCCUUCGGGCUGUCACCCGCUUUCGCCUGUGCCGACGCGUGAGUGACGGUAAUGGGUAAAGAAGCACCGGCUAACUACGUG